CCUACGGGUGGCAGCAGUGAGGAAUAUUGGUCAAUGGCCGGAAGGCUGAACCAGCCAAGCCGCGUGAAGGACGAAGGUGCCAAGCAUUGUAAACUUCUUUUGUCAAGGGACAAAAUCAGGCUCGAGAGCCUGACCGAGGGUACUUGAAGAAAAAGCAUCGGCUAACUCCGUGCCAGCAGCCGCGGUAAUACGGAGGAUGCGAGCGUUAUCCGGAUUUAUUGGGUUUAAAGGGUGCGUAGGCGGGCUGUUAAGUCAGCGGUAAAAGCCCGGGGCUCAACCCCGGCGAGCCGUUGAAACUGGCUGUCUUGAGAUGUCGAGAGGUAUGCGGAAUGCGCGGUGUAGCGGUGAAAUGCUUAGAUAUCACGAGGAACCCCGAUUGCGAAGGCAGCCUGCCGGGGUGCGACUGACGCUGAGGCUCGAAGGUGCGGGUAUCAAACAGGAUUAGAUACCCGUGUAGUC
Molecule: ribosomal RNA, 459 nt
Filed under: uncultured bacterium
Lineage: Bacteria
Description: partial 16S ribosomal RNA
Rfam family: Bacterial small subunit ribosomal RNA
Source: RNAcentral